UACGGAGGGGGCGAGCGUUGUCCGAAGUUACUGGGCGUAAAGCGCGCGUAGGCGGGGAGCCAAGUCCGCUGUGAAAGCCUGAGGCUUAACCUCAGCGGGUCGGUGGAUACUGGUUCUCUUGAAGGCGUUAGGGGGAGAUGGAAUUACCGGUGUAGCGGUGUAAUGCGUAGAUAUCGGUAGGAACACCAGUGGCGAAGGCGGUCUCCUGGGACGUUCUUGACGCUGAGGCGCGAAAGCUGGGGGAGCGAACGGG
Molecule: unclassified non-coding RNA, 253 nt
Filed under: uncultured Chthonomonadaceae bacterium
Lineage: Bacteria; Bacillati; Armatimonadota; Chthonomonadia; Chthonomonadales; Chthonomonadaceae
Description: contains 16S-23S intergenic spacer region
Rfam family: Bacterial small subunit ribosomal RNA
Source: RNAcentral